Molecule: long non-coding RNA, 2158 nt
Filed under: Homo sapiens (human)
Lineage: Eukaryota; Metazoa; Chordata; Mammalia; Primates; Hominidae
Description: HSALNT0268775
Source: RNAcentral
GAUAAAGGCCGUGGAGGGGUGCAGACAAGGAAAGGGAACCAGGAGGUGUACUUGCAAACUUGACCUACUAAAGGCAUGGCUUCCAGAGCUCUGAGGACAGUUGACCUUCAAAACAACGAUUGACCUUGGGGAAAGGAUGAGUCACAGAGGCUCCAGGGCCUGGUUCCUGCUGGCAGAGCUUCCAGCCUCUGAGUCCCAGAGUGUUCUCUCCUAGGAGUGAAACAUGUACUUGGUAGAUGUCGGCUGCCUCCACCAAAUGCAAAAACGCAUCUCAUCCUGUGAGCUGACCUUGCUGGGGGCACCGUCUGGGAGUCGUUUUUGAUUAGAAGUUGACCUCAGAAAUAUGCUCACAUCAUUUUGAAAGCAUCUUCCAGCACCACAGAAAUCGACUCAGAUGGAGAAAGGACACUGAGUGGACAGGGGCCAGGAUGGGGCGUGGACGCUCUGCCUCUGCCGGGGACAAGGCCUUCCCACAGACUCCCUGGGGUGUUGCCAGCCUGAGUCAGAGAUAUUGAUGUAAUGCCUACCGUGUUCCAGACACGCUGCGAGGCCCUGGGGAUGCAGCCACAAUCCCAACAGAUCUGAUGCCUGCUCUCAUGGAACUGACUUUGCACUGGGGGGAGGCCAACUCCACGAAAACAGAAACUGGAUGACACAUUGGAGGGAGAGCAGUAAAAGGAGCAAGCAGAGAGCAAGAACAACAGUGUUGCCAUGGGGCGGGUGGGCCCGCUGUAGCCAGGGAGGGCCUCUCCGAAGGUAUAACAGGUAAGCUGAGCCCUGGAUGCUGAGAAGGACCAGCCUCAGGAGCAGGGCCCCUCUGCAGCAAUGCCUAGUACAGAGGCUUAGAGAAGACAUGGGCACGUGCACCAGGCAUCCCAUGGGCAGGGCUACCUGAGUUCCAUAUGUGUGUGGAGAGGUCCCGCAGGGCCUGGGUGCGUGACGAGGAUGAAUAAAGUGGGUGGAGGGUAAUGCCACAGUGAGGGGCAGAUGGUGGCCAGUUGACAACACGUGCCCCCAUCAAAGAGGUGGUUGCUACUCAGCUCUGACUCAUGGUCACCAAAAAGGAUGUGGGGCGAGUGUGGCCAGAUCAUCUAGUUCUUCAAAAGAAAGUAGAAAUCUAAACAUUUUUUUUUUGGUAAAGACAUCUGAAUUUCAAGUGCUUUUAUUAAAAGAAGCAAAAAGAGGCCUGGCACGGUGGCUCACGUCUGUAAUCCCAGCACUUUGGGAGGCUGAGGUAGACAGAUCACUUGAGGUUGGGAGUUCGAGACCAGCCUGGCCAACAUGGAGAAACCCCGUCUCUACUGAAAAUACAAAAAAAAUUAGCUGGGCAUGGUGGCAGGUGCCUGCAAUCCCAGCCACUCGGGAGGCUGAGGAGCGAGAAUCACUUGAACCCGGGAGGCAGAGGUUGCAGUGAGCUGAGAUCACGCUACUGCACUCCAGCCUGGGUGACAGAGCAAGAACCUGCCUUAAAAGAAGAAGAAAAAAAAAAAAAAAAACACUGGGUGGAUGAAAAAAAAACAUCCCCAAGCCAGGUCCAGCCUGCAGGUCACCAUUUUGCAGCCUUUGGGUGGAAAGCCGGAUUGGACUGCAGCAGCCUAGUACUCAAGGAGAGGGCACGGCAGGGAGAGGAGACAGCAGCGGAAAGGCCUGAGCUGGGACAGUCGAAGAGCUGUGAGCGGCUUGCUAUGGCUGAAACGUAGUUUGAGUGUGACCACAAAACAUGGCAGACUGUGACCACAUUGCAAGGAUCUCGGAGGCUUGGUAAAAGGGUUCUCUUCCCCGGAGAUGUGGCACAGUGUCCGAUCCCCGUGCCUUUCCUCAUACAGUGCCCUCCCCCCUUUCUCCGCAUGUCUACGUUCUGACUCUAGUGCCACUUUUUCCACAGUCUCCCUGGUCCCCCUCCCACCCACCAUCAAGAUGGGAUCUCUCCCUCCUGGGAGCACCUACUGCACUUUGCUUUCAUUCAUUCAUUUUUUAAAAUUAAUUAAUUAAUUGGUUUAUUUAUUUUGAGAUGGAGUCUCACUCUGUUGCUCAGGCUGGAGUGCAACGUCACGAUCUCGGCUCACUGCAAACUCCGCCUCCCGGGUUCAAGCAAUUCUCCUGCCUCAGCCUCCCAAGUACCUGGGAUUAUAGGCAUGCGUCACCACACCCAGCUCGU